UACGAAGGGGGCUAGCGUUGCUCGGAAUCACUGGGCGUAAAGCGCACGUAGGCGGAUUGCUAAGUCAGGGGUGAAAUCCUGGAGCUCAACUCCAGAACUGCCUUUGAUACUGGCGAUCUUGAGUCCGGGAGAGGUGAGUGGAACUGCGAGUGUAGAGGUGAAAUUCGUAGAUAUCGGGAGGAACACCAGUGGCGAAGGCGGUCACCUGGACGGAUACUGACGCUGAGGUGCGAAAGCGUGGGGAGCAAACAGG
RNAcentral lists this ribosomal RNA (253 nucleotides) under uncultured bacterium. RNAcentral describes it as "partial 16S ribosomal RNA". It matches the Rfam family "Bacterial small subunit ribosomal RNA", at positions 524 to 776 of the family's 1533-position model. The record is from RNAcentral.